AUUGAACGCUGGCGGCAGGCCUAACACAUGCAAGUCGAGCGGAUGAAGGGAGCUUGCUCCUGGAUUCAGCGGCGGACGGGUGAGUAAUGCCUAGGAAUCUGCCUGGCAGUAGGGGAUAACGUCCGGAAACGGGCGCUAAUACCGCAUACGUCCUGAGGGUGAAAGUGGGGGAUCUUCGGACCUCACGCUAUCAGAUGAGCCUAGGUCGGAUUAGCUAGUUGGUGGGGUAAAGGCCUACCAAGGCGACGAUCCGUAACUGGUCUGAGAGGAUGAUCAGUCACACUGGAACUGAGACACGGUCCAGACUCCUACGGGAGGCAGCAGUGGGGAAUAUUGGACAAUGGGCGAAAGCCUGAUCCAGCCAUGCCGCGUGUGUGAAGAAGGUCUUCGGAUUGUAAAGCACUUUAAGUUGGGAGGAAGGGCAGUAAGUUAAUACCUUGCUGUUUUGACGUUACCAACAGAAUAAGCACCGGCUAACUUCGUG
Molecule: ribosomal RNA, 484 nt
Filed under: uncultured bacterium
Lineage: Bacteria
Description: partial 16S ribosomal RNA
Rfam family: Bacterial small subunit ribosomal RNA
Source: RNAcentral